UUGACCUCGAUCACGUAGGGAACCCCAAU
Molecule: ribosomal RNA, 29 nt
Filed under: Alternaria sp. MY-2011
Lineage: Eukaryota; Fungi; Ascomycota; Dothideomycetes; Pleosporales; Pleosporaceae
Description: partial 28S large subunit ribosomal RNA
Source: RNAcentral